UACGUAGGGGGCUAGCGUUGUCCGGAAUCAUUGGGCGUAAAGAGCGUGUAGGCGGCCCGGUAAGUCCGCUGUGAAAGUCGGGGGCUCAACCCUCGAAUGCCGGUGGAUACUGUCGGGCUAGAGUGCGGAAGAGGCGAGUGGAAUUCCUGGUGUAGCGGUGAAAUGCGCAGAUAUCAGGAGGAACACCGGUGGCGAAGGCGGGACUCUGGGCCGAUACUGACGCUGAGGAGCGAAAGCGUGGGGAGCGAACAGG
Molecule: ribosomal RNA, 253 nt
Filed under: uncultured bacterium
Lineage: Bacteria
Description: partial 16S ribosomal RNA
Rfam family: Bacterial small subunit ribosomal RNA
Source: RNAcentral